UGAUGGAAAAUAACAUUUACAAAUCAAAUAAAAAUGCCAUGUAGUACCUUACUCACCUCGAAUCUUGUUUGUGUACAGUUAUAUCUUGAAACUAUGAGCGCCACCAUUAAAGCAGGCUCAACAAGACUACAGAUCUCUGGAUCAUUGUUUUUUCGAAGUUAGCAUAUCCCCAAUCAAGUAUGUUCAUUGUUGAAAACGGCAAGAGCAGAGAUGCUAAGAUAUUGCCUCCACCUCCAGAUAUGCCAUAGUAUUGAUGCUUAACCUAUCCAUCAAACGUAGCACAUAUAUACAGAUUUAGGAAAUUAAUUGAGGCUUUUUUUU
This 321-nucleotide long non-coding RNA is filed under the name Olea europaea (common olive). RNAcentral's name for it is "long non-coding RNA (OEUR_LNC008914)". The record is from RNAcentral. Lineage: Eukaryota; Viridiplantae; Streptophyta; Magnoliopsida; Lamiales; Oleaceae.